GCUGAGUUGGAUAGCGCCAACUUGUGACCCAAGUGGGAGCACCAAAGUGAUGGAACGUGGCUACGGCUUGUUUGGCUGGUCUGUUAGCUGCAAUAUGCUGGCCUGCCCGCUCCAAGUUGAGAGUUGUGCCACGGGACAUGGGUGAAGGUCUCUGUCUCUUGGUCCCUAGACGAGGGGGAAUUGCGUGAGGCUGGUUUCACAGAGCAGCGAAUACCUCUGGCUC
RNAcentral lists this signal recognition particle RNA (223 nucleotides) under Medicago truncatula (barrel medic). RNAcentral's name for it is "Plant signal recognition particle RNA". It matches the Rfam family "Plant signal recognition particle RNA", at positions 1 to 224 of the family's 305-position model. The record is from Rfam by way of RNAcentral. Lineage: Eukaryota; Viridiplantae; Streptophyta; Magnoliopsida; Fabales; Fabaceae.